GAUGAACGCUGGCGGCGUGCCUAAUACAUGCAAGUCGAGCGAACGGACGAGAGGCUUGCUUCUCUGAUGUUAGCGGCGGACGGGUGAGUAACACGUGGAUAACCUACCUAUAAGACUGGGAUAACUUCGGGAAACCGGAGCUAAUACCGGAUAAUAUUUUGAACCGCAUGGUUCAAAAGUGAAAGACGGUCUUGCGGUCACUUAUAGAUGGAUCCGCGCUGCAUUAGCUGGUUGGUAAGGUAACGGCUUACCAAGGCAACGAUGCAUAGCCGACCUGAGGGGGUGAUCGGCCACACGGGAACUGAGACACGGUCAAGACGCCUACGGGAGGCAGCAGUAGGGAAUCUUACGCAAUGGGCGAAAGCCUGACGGAGCAACGCCGCGUGAGUGAUGAAGGUCUUCGGAUCGUAAAACUCUGUUAUUAGGGAAGAACAUAUGUGUAAGUAACUGUGCACAUCUUGACGGUACCUGAUCAGAAAGCCACGGCUAACUACGUG
Molecule: ribosomal RNA, 497 nt
Filed under: uncultured bacterium
Lineage: Bacteria
Description: partial 16S ribosomal RNA
Rfam family: Bacterial small subunit ribosomal RNA
Source: RNAcentral